UGGGGAAUAUCGGACAAUGGGCGAAAGCCUGAUCCAGCAAUGCCGCGUGUGUGAAGAAGGCCUUCGGGUUGUAAAGCACUUUGAUCUGGGAAGAAAAAGCUUUGGCUAACAUCCAAAGCCUUGACGGUACCAGAGGAACUAGCACCGGCUAACUCUGUGCCAGCAGCCGCGGUAAUACAGAGGGUGCUAGCGUUAAUCGGAUUUACUGGGCGUAAAGCGUGUGUAGGCGGUUCGUUAAGUCGGAUGUGAAAGCCCUGGGCUCAACCUGGGAAUUGCACUCGAUACUGGCGAGCUAGAGUACGGUAGAGGGCGGCGGAAUUCCGGGUGUAGCGGUGAAAUGCGUAGAUAUCCGGAGGAACACCGAUGGCGAAGGCAACCGCCUGGGCCUGUACUGACGCUGAGACACGAAAGCGUGGGGAGCAAA
Molecule: ribosomal RNA, 424 nt
Filed under: uncultured bacterium
Lineage: Bacteria
Description: bacterial SSU rRNA
Rfam family: Bacterial small subunit ribosomal RNA
Source: RNAcentral